RNAcentral lists this transfer RNA (86 nucleotides) under Acidobacteriota bacterium. RNAcentral describes it as "tRNA-Tyr". It matches the Rfam family "tRNA". From Rfam's summary of the family: Transfer RNA (tRNA) molecules are approximately 80 nucleotides in length. Their secondary structure includes four short double-helical elements and three loops (D, anti-codon, and T loops). Lineage: Bacteria; Pseudomonadati; Acidobacteriota. RNAcentral also lists the same sequence under 1 other name. The record is from RNAcentral.
GGAGGGGUGCCCGAGUGGUUAAAGGGAGCGGACUGUAAAUCCGUUGGCUGACGCCUACGGGGGUUCAAAUCCUCCCCCCUCCACCA